This 696-nucleotide ribosomal RNA is filed under the name uncultured bacterium. RNAcentral describes it as "bacterial SSU rRNA". It matches the Rfam family "Bacterial small subunit ribosomal RNA", at positions 800 to 1501 of the family's 1533-position model. The record is from RNAcentral.
CCCUAAACGAUGUCAACUAGCUGUUGGGGCCUUCGGGCCUUGGUAGCGCAGCUAACGCGUGAAGUUGACCGCCUGGGGAGUACGGUCGCAAGAUUAAAACUCAAAGGAAUUGACGGGGACCCGCACAAGCGGUGGAUGAUGUGGAUUAAUUCGAUGCAACGCGAAAAACCUUACCUACCCUUGACAUGUCUGGAAUUCCGAAGAGAUUUGGAAGUGCUCGCAAGAGAACCGGAACACAGGUACUGCAUGGCUGUCGUCAGCUCGUGUCGUGAGAUGUUGGGUUAAGUCCCGCAACGAGCGCAGCCCUUGUCAUUAGUUGCUACGAAAGGGCACUCUAAUGAGACUGCCGGUGACAAACCGGAGGAAGGUGGGGAUGACGUCAAGUCCCCAUGGCCCUUAUGGGUAGGGCUUCACACGUCAUACAAUGGUCGGGACAGAGGGUCGCCAACCCGCGAGGGGGAGCCAAUCCCAGAAACCCGAUCGUAGUCCGGAUCGCAGUCUGCAACUCGACUGCGUGAAGUCGGAAUCGCUAGUAAUCGCGGAUCAGCAUGUCGCGGUGAAUACGUUCCCGGGUCUUGUACACACCGCCCGUCACACCAUGGGAGUGGGUUUUACCAGAAGUAGUUAGCCUAACCGUAAGGGGGGCGAUUACCACGGUAGGAUUCAUGACUGGGGUGAAGUCGUAACAAGGUAACC